Molecule: long non-coding RNA, 412 nt
Filed under: Canis lupus familiaris (dog)
Lineage: Eukaryota; Metazoa; Chordata; Mammalia; Carnivora; Canidae
Description: lncRNA (ENSCAFG00040001220.1)
Source: RNAcentral
UAUUUACAGAUUAGAAGGCAGAAAUUCUAAGACUGUUAACAGUUGUCAUUGCCUACCAAACUCAUGGAUUUCCAUCAGCAGUUUCUAAAAUUUAUGCUAAUAAGAUUAAUAUCCUGGAUUUAAUGAAACAGUGUCUAUAGAGAGAUCUGAGAUCUGGCAUAAGAUCUGAGAAAUAGGUCCCUGUACUUUUGGAAAUUCUAAGCACUUAGAACAUCCCACAAUUAUAGAGUACACUCAUCUUCAACUAAAAUGUGAAUGUUCAAGUACCUGAAGAGUUUUAUUUCCUAAGGAAAAAUGCCAAAAAUGAAUGAGUAUGGUCUACACAGGAUCUCCUUUCAACACCAGUAUUUUCUGUGGUUACAGAAGCAUCUUCAGUCAGUUGUCACAAGAGUCUGACAUCUGUUUUUCUUGA